GCCCUGGUGGUGAAAUUGGUAGACACAAGGGAUUUAAAAUCCCUCGACUUUCGAGUCGUGCCGGUUCAAGUCCGGCACGGGGCACCA
This 87-nucleotide transfer RNA is filed under the name Vibrio aestuarianus. RNAcentral's name for it is "tRNA-Leu". It matches the Rfam family "tRNA". From Rfam's summary of the family: Transfer RNA (tRNA) molecules are approximately 80 nucleotides in length. Their secondary structure includes four short double-helical elements and three loops (D, anti-codon, and T loops). The record is from RNAcentral. Lineage: Bacteria; Pseudomonadati; Pseudomonadota; Gammaproteobacteria; Vibrionales; Vibrionaceae.